UGCCGCGUGAGUGAAGAAGGCCUUCGGGUUGUAAAGCUCUUUCAGCCGGGAAGAAAACGCAUGGGUUAAUACCCUGUGUGGAUGACGGUACCGGAAUAAGAAGCACCGGCUAACUACGUGCCAGCAGCCGCGGUAAUACGUAGGGUGCGAGCGUUAAUCGGAAUUACUGGGCGUAAAGCGUGCGCAGGCGGUUUUGUAAGACAGGCGUGAAAUCCCCGGGCUCAACCUGGGAACUGCGUUUGUGACUGCAAGGCUAGAGUAUGGCAGAGGGGGGUGGAAUUCCACGUGUAGCAGUGAAAUGCGUAGAGAUGUGGAGGAACACCGAUGGCGAAGGCAGCCCCCUGGGCCAAUACUGACGCUCAUGCACGAAAGCGUGGGUAGCAAACAGGAUUAGAUACCCUGGUAGUCCACGCCCUAAACGAUGUCAACUAGGUGUUGGGUGGGUAAAACCAUUUAGUACCGGAGCUAACGCGUGAAGUUGACCGCCUGGGGAGUACGGCCGCAAGGUUAAAACUCAAAGGAAUUGACGGGGACCCGCACAAGCGGUGGAUGAUGUGGAUUAAUUCGAUGCAACGCGAAAAACCUUACCUACCCUUGACAUGUCCAGAAGCCCUUAGAGAUUU
RNAcentral lists this ribosomal RNA (623 nucleotides) under Rhodocyclaceae bacterium Se1Ps_1926. RNAcentral describes it as "bacterial SSU rRNA". It matches the Rfam family "Bacterial small subunit ribosomal RNA", at positions 395 to 1009 of the family's 1533-position model. The record is from RNAcentral. Lineage: Bacteria; Pseudomonadati; Pseudomonadota; Betaproteobacteria; Rhodocyclales; Rhodocyclaceae.